This is a non-coding RNA of Vibrio panuliri, 79 nucleotides long. NCBI's taxonomy places the organism in Bacteria, Pseudomonadati, Pseudomonadota, Gammaproteobacteria, Vibrionales, Vibrionaceae. The record is from Rfam.
UUGAGCUGUAUGCGGGGAAACUCGCACGUACGGUUCUUAGGGGGCGGGAUAAGCAGUGAUGCUUUUCUCGCUACCCGAC